GACGAACGCUGGCGGCGUGCUUAACACAUGCAAGUCGAACGGUAAGGCCUUUCGGGGUCCACGAGUGGCGAACGGGUGAGUAACACGUGGGUGAUCUGCCCUGCACUUCGGGAUAAGCCCGGGAAACUGGGUCUAAUACCGGAUAGGACUGCGCGGUGCAUGCCGUGUGGUGGAAAGAUUUAUCGGUGCAGGAUGGGGCCGCGGCCUAUCAGCUUGUUGGUGGGGUAAUGGCAUACCAAGGCGACGACUGAUAGCCGGCCUGAGAGGGCGACCGGCCACACGAGGACUGAGACACGGCGCAGACGGCUACGGGAGGCAGCAGUGGGGAAUAUUGCACAAUGGGCGCAAGCCUGAUGCAGCGACGCCGCGUGAGUGAUGACGUCCUUCGGGUUGUAAACCUCUGUCAGCAGGGACGAAGCGUGAGUGACGGUACCUGCAGAAGAAGCACCGGCCAACUACGUG
Molecule: ribosomal RNA, 462 nt
Filed under: uncultured bacterium
Lineage: Bacteria
Description: partial 16S ribosomal RNA
Rfam family: Bacterial small subunit ribosomal RNA
Source: RNAcentral